GAGUUCCCAUUUGUUUUCUGCAAUCAAGUUUUGCCAAACCUCAAACAAAAGUUUCUUAUACCUAACAUAUAUGAUACAUGCAUGAUGCAUAAGUAGUACAUAUAUAAAGAUCAGAGUAGUGUACCUUUGUCAUCUCCUUGCAAAGGACGUUGAGCCGUAUGAGGCUCAGAGAAGUGAAGAACAAGAACAACGAAAAGGAAGACCAUAAUCCCAAGUUUCUUUUCCAUUUUUUUCUUCUAAUAAGUUUCAAGAGACUUUUUGUGUGGAACACAAACAUAAACAAGAAGAAGAAGAAGAAGAAGUCAAAAGAUUAUUAUAUAUGAGUAAUUGAGUACAGAUCUCUCACUCUCACAUGGUCGGUUUCAUUUACGUUUAUACCCAUCUUUUUUUUGUAACUUCAUCAACCAGACAAAACAACUAGGCGACAACUACUUAUUACACGCAUUUCCAUAAGAG
RNAcentral lists this long non-coding RNA (456 nucleotides) under Capsella grandiflora. RNAcentral describes it as "long non-coding RNA (CGRA_LNC000376)". Lineage: Eukaryota; Viridiplantae; Streptophyta; Magnoliopsida; Brassicales; Brassicaceae. The record is from RNAcentral.